RNAcentral lists this ribosomal RNA (253 nucleotides) under uncultured bacterium. RNAcentral describes it as "partial 16S ribosomal RNA". It matches the Rfam family "Bacterial small subunit ribosomal RNA", at positions 524 to 776 of the family's 1533-position model. The record is from RNAcentral.
UACGUAGGGGGCCAGCGUUGCUCGGAAUUACUGGGCGUAAAGGGUCCGUAGGCGGUGUAGCAAGUCGAUAGUGAAAUCUCUGGGCUUAACCCAGAGGCUGCUAACGAAACUGCUGUGCUAGAGUGUGAGAGAGGCGAGUGGAAUUACGGGUGUAGCGGUGAAAUGCGUAGAUAUCCGUAGGAACAUCCGAGGCGAAGGCGGCUCGCUGGAUCACAACUGACGCUGAGGUACGAAGGCAUGGGUAUCGAUCGGG